GUUAAAAGUUGCAUGCCUUUCUAUUUGGUUUCCUAAAUAUCGAUGCCGUUCGUUAUCAAAAUAAGGGCAUGUCAUUUAAUAGUGUUUUUCAGUAGCUAUUUUGUGUGUGUUACAUAGGUUGCAGAGGCGAUCAUGGAAUGGGAUGCCUUCAUAGCGGCCAGUUUCUACAGGGAGGAGGUGGUUAGCAGUGCGGAAUUUAAAGAUACUUUGGGACUCAUCGGGAUGAAUUUUAAUCAGGUCAGAGGCACUACUUGAGACAAUGACGGUGUCAUCUGCAUACAAUAGGACCAGAAGCUUAAGCCACAAUGUUGCAGUAUCUGGGUUGAUAAGUUCAACCCCAACAGAUCCAUUUAUAUGCAGGUUAGAGGCACAAUGUCUUCCCCCGGGGUCCUAGUGAGCUCCGCCCCGGUUUGGUGUGUUCCUGGAUCCAGAUGCGUCCCAUGGGCGCUGUAUCGGUGGUUGAGGCUGCGAUGAGCCAAGCUGUUGAGCCGUUUCCGACUGGCGGUUUGGGGAAUCCCUGCGAGGUGCGUGUUGGGCCGUUUCCGACUGGCGGUUUGGGGGAUCCCUGCGGGGUGCGUGUUGGGCCGUUUCCGACUGGCAGUUUGGGUGGUCCCUGCCAGGUGCGUGUGGGCGAGGAUUCUUCCUCCGGGAAGGCGAUGGCGAUUGUUGCUUUCGCGGAGUCCUGCGCUCAAGCACAGGGGAAGCAUCGCGUUGGCUACGCUCCUGCAAAACAGUCUUGUUCGAGUCGUUGGACUGGGCACGAGGAGCCUGUGACAUGGCUGGCUGCGUGUGGGAUCUGUUUACAUUUCUAGCUAGAGCAUACUGUGUGUUUGUGAAAAAAUUGUUGUGCUUUGUAACACGGCUGCCUUGCAUGAUUGUAUCCCAGUUUGGAAAGGCAUCAGCGACAACGC
This is a long non-coding RNA of Dreissena polymorpha, 911 nucleotides long. RefSeq lists it as uncharacterized. The record is from RefSeq and is a predicted model, not a curated record. The transcript is spliced from 3 exons. NCBI's taxonomy places the organism in Eukaryota, Metazoa, Mollusca, Bivalvia, Myida, Dreissenidae.